RNAcentral lists this ribosomal RNA (499 nucleotides) under uncultured bacterium. RNAcentral describes it as "bacterial SSU rRNA". It matches the Rfam family "Bacterial small subunit ribosomal RNA", at positions 30 to 504 of the family's 1533-position model. The record is from RNAcentral.
CGAACGCUGGCGGCGUGCCUAACACAUGCAAGUCGUACGAGAAAGCUCCCUUCGGGGAGUGAGUAGAGUGGCGCACGGGUGAGUAACGCGUGGGCAAUCUGCCCCCGAGCUCGGAAUAACCCCUCGAAAGGGGGGCUAAUACCGGAUAACAAUUCGAUCUCCUCGGAGGUUGAAUUCAAAGGUGGCCUCUGAUUUAAGCUACCACUUGGGGAGGAGCCCGCGUCCCAUUAGCUUGUUGGUGGGGUAAUGGCCUACCAAGGCUACGAUGGGUAGCCGGCCUGAGAGGGUGACCGGCCACACUGGAACUGAGACACGGUCCAGACUCCUACGGGAGGCAGCAGUGGGGAAUUUUGCGCAAUGGGCGAAAGCCUGACGCAGUGACGCCGCGUGGACGAUGAAGGUCUUCGGGUCGUAAAGUCCUGUCAAGUGGGAAGAAGUGCGUGGUAGCCAAUACCUGCCAUGUUUGACGGUACCACUAGAGGAAGCCCCGGCCAACUCC